UUUUCAGCUCCAGAUAUAUGAACCUAGGGAUCAGGAUUAUGGGCUGCUAGACAAAACAAUGUCCAAGUCCUUUUCCAACUCAAGACUUCAUUUUGCUGAUGUGGAAACUGAGGCCCAGAAAGGGAAGUGUUUUGCCCAGGAUCCUACAGAAGCUAUGUGAUGAAUUGGACCCUGCAUCCCCAAUAGCUGGAAAGAGAGAAGCACAAGAAAUAUUUCUUCAGUGACUGUCAACAGUGAAUCUGAAGGAGAUCAGCCUUAUUAGGGGCUAGAAAUGAGCCAGUCACAUCUCCAUUCUAGGGAGACUUUCAGGUGCUUGUUAUUGGUCAGGGGACAAGGUCUUGGGGGGUGAAGGUGGGUGGGAAAGGAGAGUGAUGUGU
RNAcentral lists this long non-coding RNA (377 nucleotides) under Monodelphis domestica (gray short-tailed opossum). RNAcentral's name for it is "lncRNA (ENSMODG00000049529.1)". The record is from RNAcentral. Lineage: Eukaryota; Metazoa; Chordata; Mammalia; Didelphimorphia; Didelphidae.